ACCAGACUCCUACGGGAGGCAGCAGUGGGGGAUAUUGCACAAUGGGGGGAACCCUGAUGCAGCGACGCCGCGUGGGUGAAGAAGCGCCUCGGCGCGUAAAGCCCUGUCAGCAGGGAAGAAAAUGACGGUACCUGAAGAAGAAGCCCCGGCUAACUACGUGCCAGCAGCCGCGGUAAUACGUAGGGGGCAAGCGUUAUCCGGAUUUACUGGGUGUAAAGGGGGCGCAGACGGCGAUGCAAGCCAGGAGUGAAAGCCCGGGGCCCAACCCCGGGACUGCUCUUGGAACUGCGUGGCUGGAGUGCAGGAGGGGCAGGCGGAAUUCCUGGUGUAGCGGUGAAAUGCGUAGAUAUCAGGAGGAACACCGGCGGCGAAGGCGGCCUGCUGGACCGUGACUGACGUUGAGGCUCGAGAGCGUGGGGAGCAAACAGGAUUAGAUACCCCAGUACGA
Molecule: ribosomal RNA, 448 nt
Filed under: uncultured bacterium
Lineage: Bacteria
Description: partial 16S ribosomal RNA
Rfam family: Bacterial small subunit ribosomal RNA
Source: RNAcentral